Non-coding RNA from Citrus sinensis (sweet orange), 107 nucleotides. The record is from Rfam. NCBI's taxonomy places the organism in Eukaryota, Viridiplantae, Streptophyta, Magnoliopsida, Sapindales, Rutaceae.
AUACCAUGAUGAGAACAACUUCUGAGUAGUUCCCUAAAUCUUUCCCAUGCAUCAUACAAGCUCUCAUCUUCAAGUUGGUGGAAAAAUGUAAUCUCGUUCCUCAAUUU